Transfer RNA from Candidatus Methanoperedens, 74 nucleotides. It matches the Rfam family "tRNA". Rfam says of the family: Transfer RNA (tRNA) molecules are approximately 80 nucleotides in length. Their secondary structure includes four short double-helical elements and three loops (D, anti-codon, and T loops). The record is from Rfam. Lineage: Archaea; Methanobacteriati; Methanobacteriota; Methanomicrobia; Methanosarcinales; Candidatus Methanoperedentaceae.
GGGCUCGUGGUCUAGUCGGCUAUGACGUCGCUCUCACACGGCGAAGAUCCUGAGUUCGAAUCUCAGCGGGCCCA